ACGCAGAAGGUCCUGGGUUCGAGC
Molecule: non-coding RNA, 24 nt
Filed under: Callithrix jacchus (white-tufted-ear marmoset)
Lineage: Eukaryota; Metazoa; Chordata; Mammalia; Primates; Cebidae
Also listed under: 2 other names
Source: RNAcentral